AACGCAAAUGGCGCUUCCUGGCAUCCCGGGAAGCAUGCCUGUUUGAGAACCGUAGACCAACCUCACCAGUCCGGCGUCCAUAUCCCGAACCGGGAAGGAUAUCCCCUCUGGUGGUUCUGGGUCACAGGCAGCAGACGAGACGUCCUCCUCCCGUUUGUCGCUCGUGGUCCGCAAACCUUUUGACCCGCGGGGCUGAUGGUCCCGGAUUUCCCAAGGCAAAGGUCAACGCGGAGAGACCAAAAACCGCGGAAUCUCGAAAGUGGAUUUUGCUUCUUUUGGCGAUCCGGUGUUUAUCUGGGAAAAAAGAGACCCGGCCAUCCUUGCGCGGGGGACCACCCAAAAAAAAAAAACAAACAAACAAAACUUGGUCUCAAGUCAGGCAAGAGAACCCGCUGAACUUAA
Molecule: unclassified non-coding RNA, 402 nt
Filed under: uncultured fungus
Lineage: Eukaryota; Fungi
Description: partial contains 5.8S ribosomal RNA, internal transcribed spacer 2, and large subunit ribosomal RNA
Source: RNAcentral